Molecule: ribosomal RNA, 649 nt
Filed under: uncultured bacterium
Lineage: Bacteria
Description: bacterial SSU rRNA
Rfam family: Bacterial small subunit ribosomal RNA (bases 2-566)
Source: RNAcentral
AGAGUUUGAUCCUGGCUCAGAACGAACGCUGGCGGCGUGCCUAACACAUGCAAGUCGAGCGAGAACGCCUGCUUCGGCAGGUUAGUAAAGCGGCGAACGGGUGAGUAACACGUGAGUCACCUACCCUCCAGUAGGGGAUAACACUUCGAAAGGUGUGCUAAUACCGUGUACGGUCCCGACCGUGUCUGCGGAUGGGACGAAAGGUGGCCUCUCUAUAGAAGCUGCCGCUGGGGGAUGGGCUCGCGCCCCAUUAGCUAGUUGGUAGGGUAACGGCCUACCAAGGCAACGAUGGGUAGCUGGUCUGAGAGGACGAUCAGCCACACUGGAACUGAGACACGGUCCAGACUCCUACAGGAGGCAGCAGUGGGGAAUAUUGCACAAUGGGGGAAACCCUGAUGCAGCAACGCCGCGUGCGGGAUGAAGGCCUUCGGCUCGUAAACCGCUGUCAGGGGGGAAGAAAUCGAUCCCGUGAAUAGCCUGACUGGAUGACUGUACCCCCACAGGAAGCCCCCGCUAACUCCGUGCCAGCAACCACCGGUAAGACCGAGUGGUGCCACCGAUUGUUCGGGAAUCAAUUGAGCCGUAAAAGCGCGUUUGGGUUAGUCCGAAUAAGCACAUUACCUCGAAAUCACCCUGAGGUCAAACCCUG